UACGUAGGGUGCAAGCGUUGUCCGGAAUUAUUGGGCGUAAAGGGCUCGUAGGCGGUCUGUCACGUCGGGAGUGAAAACUCAGGGCUUAACCCUGAGCCUGCUUCCGAUACGGGCAGACUAGAGGUAUGCAGGGGAGAACGGAAUUCCUGGUGUAGCGGUGAAAUGCGCAGAUAUCAGGAGGAACACCGGUGGCGAAGGCGGUGCUCUGGGCAUUACCUGACGCUGAGGAGCGAAAGUGUGGGGAGCGAACAGG
RNAcentral lists this ribosomal RNA (253 nucleotides) under uncultured bacterium. RNAcentral's name for it is "partial 16S ribosomal RNA". It matches the Rfam family "Bacterial small subunit ribosomal RNA", at positions 524 to 776 of the family's 1533-position model. The record is from RNAcentral.